Molecule: long non-coding RNA, 108 nt
Organism: Aedes aegypti (yellow fever mosquito)
Lineage: Eukaryota; Metazoa; Arthropoda; Insecta; Diptera; Culicidae
Exons: 3
Source: RefSeq, a predicted model, not a curated record
CCUGAAAAUCACUAAAGAACCCGACCUACGUGGCGGAACAGCGGAUUGAAUUUAUUGGCCAAUUAGCUUGCAAGGCCCACUGAAAUAUUUUGAAGCGGAAUAUACGAC